AUUGAACGCUGGCGGCACGCUUUACACAUGCAAGUCGAACGGUAACAGGUUAAGCUGACGAGUGGCGAACGGGUGAGUAAUGCAUCGGAACGUGCCCGAUCGUGGGGGAUAACGCAGCGAAAGCUGCGCUAAUACCGCAUGCGAUCUGAGGAUGAAAGCGGGGGACCGUAAGGCCUCGCGCGAUCGGAGCGGCCGAUGUCAGAUUAGGUAGUUGGUGGGGUAAAGGCUCCCCAAGCCAACGAUCUGUAGCUGGUCUGAGAGGACGACCAGCCACGCUGGGACUGAGACACGGCCCAGACUCCUACGGGAGUCAGCAGUGGGUAAUUUUGGACAAUGGGCGAAAGCCUGAUCCAGCAAUGCCGCGUGCAGGAAGAAGGCCUUCGGGUUGUAAACUGCUUUUGUACGGAGCGAAAAGGCUCUCUCUAAUACAGGGGGCUCAUGACGGUACCGUAAGAAUAAGCACCGGCUAACUACGUGCCAGCCGCCGCGGUAA
Molecule: ribosomal RNA, 493 nt
Filed under: uncultured bacterium
Lineage: Bacteria
Description: partial 16S ribosomal RNA
Rfam family: Bacterial small subunit ribosomal RNA
Source: RNAcentral